This 28-nucleotide non-coding RNA is filed under the name Mus musculus (house mouse). The record is from RNAcentral. Lineage: Eukaryota; Metazoa; Chordata; Mammalia; Rodentia; Muridae.
AAAGCAAAUGACAAGGACACUGUAACAG